Long non-coding RNA from Cyprinus carpio carpio, 1067 nucleotides. The record is from Ensembl. NCBI's taxonomy places the organism in Eukaryota, Metazoa, Chordata, Actinopteri, Cypriniformes, Cyprinidae.
CUGACCAGACGAAACCAGCAGACAAUGCUGAAUAAAGUCGUAGUUUUUGCUAUUUUUGGACCAAAAUGUAUUUUCGAUGCUUCAAAAAAUUCUAACGGACCCUCUGAUGUCACAUGGACUACUUUGAUGAUGUUUUUAUUACCUUUCUGGACAUGGACAGUAUACCGUACAUACAUUUUCAAUGGAGGGACAGAAAGCUCUCGGACUAAAUCUAAAAUAUCUUAAACUGUGUUCCGAAGAUGAACUGAGGUCUUAUGGGUUUGGAACGACAUGAGGCUGCGCUCCAUUCUUCAGGCUGCUCUCUUUAAGGCGCAAGUGUGCUCGUUAUACCAUGAUGUCUGACUGUUUUCCAUAAUCUUAUUUAAGCGUAAAGGAGCAACUGUAUCUUAAGUGCUAGAAAAGAGAGAGUUUAUAGUUUCUGAGUUUUUCUGAGCUGUUGGAUUUGCUGAGGAAUUGGGACAAGUCUGGAAGAUUAUUUACAAAGCAGUCUUUUGUGAAAGAAGUGAUGGUUAAAUUUGAAUUUGCAGCUUUAGCGAUAUGGAGUAUACUACACAAGACUAGAUAAUGAUCUAAGAUAUUAUCACUCUAUUGCAGAAUUUCAACACCAUUAAUAUCAAUUCCUUGUGACAGUAUUGAAUCUAAAGUAUGAUUACAACGAGUAGGCCCUGACACGUGUUGUUUUACCCCAGUGGAGUUAAGACUUUAUCUGCACCCCAACAAUUAAGACUUUAUCUGCACCCAGCAAUAACUGGGUUGAUAAAAAAAAAUAUUUGAUAAAGUUUGUAUGGUGUCCUGGUGGCCUGUAUACAGUAGCCAGUACAAACGUCACAGGGGAUUUAUCAUUAACACUUGUUUCUCUGGAUAAUGUUAUAUGAAGCACCAUUACAUCAAAUUAAUUAUACUUGAAACCAGACUUCUGAGAAAUACUGAAAAUAUUACUAUAAAUUGUGGCAACACCUCCCCCUUUACCUUUUGGUGCGGAUCAUGUUUAUAACAGUAAUCUUGGGGAUAGACUCAUUUCAAAUGUUAUCAUCUGGUAUUAGCCAGGUUUAUGUCAAACAGAGCAC